This 440-nucleotide ribosomal RNA is filed under the name uncultured bacterium. RNAcentral's name for it is "bacterial SSU rRNA". It matches the Rfam family "Bacterial small subunit ribosomal RNA", at positions 355 to 786 of the family's 1533-position model. The record is from RNAcentral.
UUAGGAAUAUUCGUCAAUGGGGGAAAGCCCUGAACGAGCAAUGCCGCGUGAAGGAUGACGGUCCUCUGGAUUGUAAACUUCUGUUGUUAGGGAAGAACGACCUAAGUAGGAAAUGACUUAGGAGUGACGGUACCUUUCAAGAAAGCUCCGGCUAACUACGUGCCAGCAGCCGCGGUAAUACGUAGGGAGCGAGCGUUAUCCGGAUUUAUUGGGUGUAAAGGGUGCGUAGGCGGCUUCUUAAGUUUGUAGUCUAAGCCCGGAGCUUAACUCCGGUUCGCUACAAAAACUGAGUUGCUUGAGUAUGGUAGAGGCAAGUGGAAUUUCUAGUGUAGCGGUUAAAUGCGUAGAUAUUAGAAGGAACACCAGUGGCGAAGGCGACUUGCUGGGCCAUUACUGACGCUGAGGCACGAAAGCGUGGGGAGCAAAUAGGAUUAGAUACC